UGGCUCAAAUGGUAAAGCGUCUGCCUACAAUGCGGGAGACCCAGGUUCAAUCCCUGG
RNAcentral lists this transfer RNA (57 nucleotides) under Bos taurus (domestic cattle). It matches the Rfam family "tRNA", at positions 8 to 63 of the family's 71-position model. Rfam says of the family: Transfer RNA (tRNA) molecules are approximately 80 nucleotides in length. Their secondary structure includes four short double-helical elements and three loops (D, anti-codon, and T loops). Further hydrogen bonds mediate the characteristic L-shaped molecular structure. tRNAs have two regions of fundamental functional importance: the anti-codon, which is responsible for specific mRNA codon recognition, and the 3' end, to which the tRNAs corresponding amino acid is attached (by aminoacyl-tRNA synthetases). tRNAs cope with the degeneracy of the genetic code in two manners: having more than one tRNA (with a specific anti-codon) for a particular amino acid; and 'wobble' base-pairing, i.e. permitting non-standard base-pairing at the 3rd anti-codon position. RNAcentral also lists the same sequence under 5 other names. The record is from Rfam by way of RNAcentral. Lineage: Eukaryota; Metazoa; Chordata; Mammalia; Artiodactyla; Bovidae.